Mus caroli (Ryukyu mouse) is the source of this 611-nucleotide long non-coding RNA. RefSeq lists it as uncharacterized. NCBI's taxonomy places the organism in Eukaryota, Metazoa, Chordata, Mammalia, Rodentia, Muridae. The record is from RefSeq and is a predicted model, not a curated record.
UGACUGUUAUGCUGAGCGGGCUGUAUGGUUGGCUGUGGGUAGGGAGAAGAGACCUCCCUGUGAGGUACCAAGGAAGGGGUGCACAGACACCAGGCUGCUCAGUCCCAACAGAAGACCCAGAGGAUGGCACAGGCCUACUCAUCCUGAAAGAGCAGGCUCCGUGAGGUGAAGGCACAUGACCCCAUUGCAUGAACUUUUGGACGUGAGCAAGUGGCUACUCACCGCAGAUAGGUCACCACUGCCUGAUUGGAGCAAGGAUUCCAAGGAUGGGCUUAUGGGGUUUACUUCCAGGAAUGUGAUGACACCCCUAAACGGCCACGUCACUGAAGAGUCUCACCCCAGCAUGAAGCAUGAUAGAAACACCAGAUUCGUGGAUACAGGAGCCCGUGCUUGUGGUGUGCCAGCCACUGGAACAGCCCUUUGUGAAUGGCCUCUCAUCCCAUUCCCCAGACAGCAGAGACUCUGAGCUUAAUGAGCCGCCAAUGUUCCAGAAGCAUAGGUGUUUAAAACUCCUAUAGAGUGCAGAGUGAAGAUUUGAACCCAGGACCACUGAGCUCCAGCGUCCAAGACCUUGUGUAUGGAUCAAUAUGCCUGCCUAACAGGGACUCACA